GUGUUGUAUGAAAGGAGAGAAGGUUAGCACUCCCCUUGACAAGGAUGGAAGAGGCCCUCGGGCCUGACAGCAUGCAUAUGGUUAAGGCACUGACACCUACUUCGUGGCAUCUAACAUACUGAUAUC
This 126-nucleotide non-coding RNA is filed under the name Chinchilla lanigera (long-tailed chinchilla). The record is from RNAcentral. Lineage: Eukaryota; Metazoa; Chordata; Mammalia; Rodentia; Chinchillidae.